Molecule: ribosomal RNA, 492 nt
Filed under: uncultured bacterium
Lineage: Bacteria
Description: partial 16S ribosomal RNA
Rfam family: Bacterial small subunit ribosomal RNA
Source: RNAcentral
GAUGAACGCUAGCUACAGGCUUAACACAUGCAAGUCGAGGGGAAACGACAUCGAAAGCUUGCUUUUGAUGGGCGUCGACCGGCGCACGGGUGAGUAACGCGUAUCCAACCUGCCCAUCACUUGGGGAUAACCUUGCGAAAGUAAGACUAAUACCCAAUGAUAUCUCUAGAAGACAUCUGAAAGAGAUUAAAGAUUUAUCGGUGAUGGAUGGGGAUGCGUCUGAUUAGCUUGUUGGGGGGGUAACGGCAAACCAAGGCAACGAUCAGUAUGGGUUCUGAGAGGAAGGUCCCCCAGAUUGGAACGAAGACACGGUCCAAACUCGGACGGGAGGGAGCAGUAAGGAAUAGUGGUCAAGGGGCGAGAGCCUGAACCAGCCAAGUAGCGUGCAGGAAGACGGCCCUAUGGGUGGUAAACUGCUUUUAUAAGGGAAUAAAGUGAGAGUCGUGACUCUUUUUGUAUGUACCUUAUGAAUAAGGACCGGCUAAUUCCGUG